UGGAUGUAAUUGCAGUUGUUGAUGAUAAUUCUAAUUGAAGUAUAUAUUCUAAUUGAAAUUGAUUUUCAUCUCUGUUUUUAUUUCUUUAAAGAGUGGAAGAUGAUUUGGUUAAAUGGGAUUGUUCUUGUUUGGAAAAAGGAGAGAAAUAGAGAGCUAUUGAUGGCAGUAAGAGUUGGUGACUAAAAUGGCAAGGUUCGUGCUUGGAGGGUGGUUGAAAAAUUGUCUCAACAAAAUCCCUUGUGAUUUGAAGGAGCUAAUGCACAGAUUCUUCUGCAACAUUUUUGUAGUAUGUUUUAACUGGCAGUACUCAGUUCUAGCCAUCACGGGGGUUGAACAUCUAAAAUGUUGGCUCAACUGAGGGAAGAGUUGGUGUCCAUCAUUUGGAUUUGCAUGAUUCUCAGCAAGAGAAAAACUUCACCUUCAAAUGUAUAGAAUUCUUGCUGCGAUUGAAGCAACGAUGGGUUGAGCUGAAAAUGGACUGAUUAGAUGUAUGUUAGGUGUUAUAGGGAAGGAUUUGGAAGGAUUUGUGUUUGCUUAUUGUAAUACUUGUGUUUGAUCUUUGUAAUUUGUCCUAAAUUAACUUAAUUAAAAUUUGAUUUGAUUUUUAAUCUAA
Long non-coding RNA from Papaver somniferum (opium poppy), 613 nucleotides. RefSeq lists it as uncharacterized. The transcript is spliced from 2 exons. NCBI's taxonomy places the organism in Eukaryota, Viridiplantae, Streptophyta, Magnoliopsida, Ranunculales, Papaveraceae. The record is from RefSeq and is a predicted model, not a curated record.